CUGAAGAUGAAAUGAAACUGGAAAGCAGCAUAGAUUCAGCUGUAUUUUCUCAACAACAUCAUCAAUCAUACAAUACCGAUUCACUCGAAAAUAAGAGGGGAUCAACUGGAAAAUCUGAAAAAUCACUAUCAAUUGAAGUAUCUGUUGCUGACCCCGAUUCCCCAUUGAACUUGAUGAACGAAAAUACUGUAAUUGGGUUAGUUGAUGAGAAUAAUACUAUAGAACAUCAUCCUAAUGAUGUGGAUUCAUUAAAAAAUAAUGAUUUCUCAACAGACGUCGGUCCAAACUCUAUUUUGAACGCACACAAUGAUUUGAAACCUGUCGUAGUUUCGACAAUUGAUGAAAAAAAGUUGAAUCCUUUUCGACAAACAACUUCUAAUAAUAAUGUUAUUCCAAUUUUAGAACACGCAAAUCCUAUGGAGCCAGCGAUUGGGUUUAAAAUGACCGAUCGCAAAAUAUCGCAAUUCAACCCUUGGAAUAUACAUACCACUGAGUGCCCAUUGAAUAAAUAUCGCCAGAAUAGCACGCCCCACAAUAAGUAUCUUCAUGUGUUAAAGUUUGAGGGCGAUUCAAGUAGAGAACAUAUGGAACGUUUAAAGGAUGCUUCAGCCUCCAAUAGACACACAGUGAAGCUUGAAGGUAUUGAGCCCAGUGAAGAGUCAAACAAUUCGAAUAAGGCUAAUCCACAAAAACGAAAUACAUACAAAAGUACAGGUGCAAAAGAACCUGGAACAACCAGUACAAUCAUAAACAAACGGAAGAAAAGUAACGUGAAAAGGCAAGCUUCUCCGAAUGGAAAUCAAAUCAGAGGAGGCCAAAGCUGUUUAGAGCGUAAUACUCCACCGGGUGUGGAUCCAAUCACAUACCAUGAGAGUGCUCAUUGCUUGCGCUAUAGUGAUCUGUGGUAUACUGUUUAUCACUUGAGAAGGCCUUUUGUUGAACACUCGGUGCGAUUGAAACUUUAUGAAAAGUAUGACUAUCAUGACAAAAAUACGCACUGGGAUGAAAUAACUGCCGGAAGGCAGACCAACGUGGGAACAUUUAGCCGUGUUGUUCAAGAUGAAACGCCAACAUUCUCUUUCACUUACAUGCCGAGCUCAGAUCAAGUGCUCGGUCCUUUCCAGCUAGACACCGAUAAAAGCACGUUGCUAGUUCCUCAACCAGUCAGCGAUCAACUCCAAGAUAAAUAUCCACAGGCGAGAGCUGGUCCCAGUGAAUAUCUUCUGCUGAAGAGCGACCAAAUCACACAGGAUGGAGACGAAUGCGAUAAGGUCGGAGUUGGCUUCUCAGCGUUCGCAAAGCAACCCGACAGAUGCAGUCACGUGCGGGGCACAUGUCUCACCAAUCAACCUCUACAUCUAUGGCAGCAUGAUCAUGAGGCUCUGGCAAACGACAAGCCAGGAAAGUAUUUCCUGAAAAACUUUGCGUGUAUAUCGUUGAACCCUUUCAUAGUGAACAAAUCCAAUAGCGACGAAUUCCUGGCCAUUGAUUAUCAUAAUCCCUACUCAGCAACGAUUGAAAUCGAAGUCAAGUCUGAUUUUAAUGGCAUCAUUCGACCAGGGAUAGGAGCCCAGUUACCCGAAGUGUACGUAGAUGCGACAUGCGAUUUCAACACGAAAAUAAUCGUCACGAUUGCGAACAUGGGUCUGGCGUCGGCUCGAUUCUUCCCAAGGUUAGCCAAUUGUCCAGGAGGCUUGCCCGAGGUGUGGCUGACCGCUCAGAGCCCGGCAUUCAUGAUCGCGCCGCAACACCAGCACAGGUUCCAUCUGUCUCUGUUUGGCACGCUUCCCAUCGGCCGCUUCCACUGUUCAAUUGACGUUUUGAACGACAACCACGAGAUAGUGGCAACCAGGCGAAUCCGCAUCCAGAGGUACGAUCGUUGCUUCUGCCUGUUUCAUUGCCUGUGCGCCUGUAGCGCAUCCAGCAAAGGACUCAGUUGCGACCAAAUGUCCAUCGAACAUUACCAUGCGGCUGGAUUUAUGGGAUCCCUGCCUAUUCCAAUAGUUUUUGAACAAAAGUCUGUUUUUGAAAAGAAUUUCAAUUUUUGGAGCUAUCUGUUGAUAGCUUUCUUGAUUGGUCCUCUGCUGCUUGGUUUUUUGAAAGCGUUAUCGGGCGUGUGUUGUUGUACAACGAUCAGCUCAGCUGGCAUGUCAUUGGUGGGUGCAGGAAAAGCCAAGACUGCGGCCAGCCAAGAGGAAGGGGAGGGGGAAGACGCAAGCAAGUCAGCUGAAGAUGGCCAGCAACAACCCAAUCCAGUAAUGCAAUUCUGCUUGAAUAUUUUCAUAUUCUUCUAUCUGAUAUUUGUGGUGAUCGUAAAACUCUUGAGUGUUUUAUGUUCAAUUUUCUGCUGUUUUGCAAUCUGUGCAAUUUUUAAUAAAAGAGAUUCUGGAGAUUCUGAAUCGGGGAAGCGUAAAAGCUCUGUGAGUGAAAGGUCUCAACUACCAUCCACUGACGAAGAGCGUCAUGUGAGUUUUGAUGAUGAUGCUGAUGCUGAUGAUGUUGACGGCGAAGGUGAAGGUGAAGAUGGCGAAGGAGACGGAGAUGAGGAUGAGGAUGAAGAAGAUGGUGAAGAGGAAGAGGAUGAGGAUGAGGAAGAUGAUGGUGAACCAGAUGUUCUGAAGAUAACUGGGGGCGACAGUCUGGAUGACGAUGCUGACAUCGAUCUCCUUGAAUAUUUCAACACAACGCUGUAUCAGAAUACGAAUCGAGAGUGGCGGAGAGCUUCAUUGAUCUGCUUCUUGAGUCUGAGGAGGUGUACAGGCACUUCAGUGAGCCAGUGGGCGACAUCAUAAUGCCUGAAGGCUUCGAGUAUUGCAUACGAGGAUUCUUGGUCAAGAGUGACACGGGAUACUUUUUCAUUCCACCCUCGCCAUUGCUACAAUACUGGACACACGACAAGCAGUUGAUGGAGCCACCGCAGCCACUGGCAUUUGCAGACUUCGAAAAAGCGUACGACUCGGCAAUCGAUGUGCUCAUCAGCUAUGACCUUGAUUUGAUGCCCAAUGGACCGGCCGUCAAUGUCUACCAUCUUUGAGAAAGUUGUUAAAAUAAACAGUCAGUCUUGAAUUCUCCACCGUUUUCUUAAUUGGUGUAAAAAUGUUCAAAUAAAUUAGUCUACUCUAUAGGAAAGAUUGAAUAAUAAAAAAUACUUGGUAGUUUUGGAUUGAAA
This 3169-nucleotide unclassified non-coding RNA is filed under the name Nilaparvata lugens (brown planthopper). RNAcentral describes it as "uncharacterized LOC111062487, transcript variant X4". Lineage: Eukaryota; Metazoa; Arthropoda; Insecta; Hemiptera; Delphacidae. The record is from RNAcentral.